UACGUAGGGGGCAAGCGUUGUCCGGAUUUAUUGGGCGUAAAGAGCGUGUAGGCGGCCAGGUAGGUCCGUUGUGAAAACUGGAGGCUUAACCUCCAGCUGUCGAUGGAAACCAUCUGGCUAGAGUCCGGAAGAGGAGAGUGGAAUUCCUGGUGUAGCGGUGAAAUGCGCAGAUAUCAGGAAGACCACCCGUGGCGAAGCCGGCUCUCUGGGACGGUACUGACGCUGAGACGCGAAAGCGUGGGGAGCGAACAGG
Molecule: ribosomal RNA, 253 nt
Filed under: uncultured bacterium
Lineage: Bacteria
Description: partial 16S ribosomal RNA
Rfam family: Bacterial small subunit ribosomal RNA
Source: RNAcentral